Molecule: ribosomal RNA, 253 nt
Filed under: uncultured bacterium
Lineage: Bacteria
Description: partial 16S ribosomal RNA
Rfam family: Bacterial small subunit ribosomal RNA
Source: RNAcentral
UACAGAGGGUGCAAGCGUUAAUCGGAAUUACUGGGCGUAAAGCGUGCGUAGGUGGUUCGUUGUGUCUGUGGUGAAAUCCCCGGGCUUAACCUGGGAAUGGCCAUGGAAACUGGCGAGCUGGAGUCUGGCAGAGGGGGGUGGAAUUCCCGGUGUAGCGGUGGAAUGCGCAGAGAUCGGGAAGAACAUCAGUGGCGAAGGCGGUCUGCUGGGCCGUUGCUGACGCUGAGGCGCGACAGCGUAGGGAGCAAACAGG